RNAcentral lists this ribosomal RNA (512 nucleotides) under Paratya australiensis. RNAcentral describes it as "partial 16S ribosomal RNA". It matches the Rfam family "Bacterial large subunit ribosomal RNA", at positions 1846 to 2611 of the family's 2925-position model. The record is from RNAcentral. Lineage: Eukaryota; Metazoa; Arthropoda; Malacostraca; Decapoda; Atyidae.
UGUGUAGUCUGGCCUGCCCACUGAAAUUUAAAGGGCCGCGGUAUCUGAACCGUGCUAAGGUAGCAUAAUCAAUAGUCUCUUAAUUGGGGUCUAGAAUGAACGGUCGGACGAAAAAUUAGCUGUCUUGCAUGUAAAAUUGAACUUUACUUUUAAGUGAAAAGGCUUAAAUUCAAUGAAGGGACGAUAAGACCCUAUGAAGCUUAAUGUAAACUAUUUUAAAGUAACUUUAAAUAAUUGGGUGUUUUAUUUUUAUAAUGUUUAUAUUGUGCUGGGGCGGCUGUAAUAUAAAUUUAACUGUUAUUCGGUAAAAAAUAAUUAUAUUUAGAUAAAUUUGAUCCUCUACUUACGGAUUAUAAGAUUUAAGUUACUCUAGGGAUAACAGCGUAAUUCUUCUUGAGAGUUCAUAUCGACAGAAGUAGUUGCGACCUCGAUGUUGAAUUAAAAUUUCAUUAAGGUGUAGGAGCUUUAAUAGUAGGUCUGUUCGACCUUUAAAAUUUUACGUGAUCUGAGUU